Molecule: long non-coding RNA, 1796 nt
Organism: Brassica napus (rape)
Lineage: Eukaryota; Viridiplantae; Streptophyta; Magnoliopsida; Brassicales; Brassicaceae
Exons: 3
Source: RefSeq, a predicted model, not a curated record
AUUUGAUUUGAUUUAAGUUUCUUAUUAAAUAAUUGAAUCGAUGUGGUUUGAGUUUUCAAAUAUGUUUAUGGUAAGUGUUGUUUCGUGAAAUAAAGUCUAGAAUAAUUCCCAGAAAAAAAAUUAUUGAUCAUCAAAUAUGCAAUGACAUUAUACUUCAAGAAAACUUCAUGAGCUUCCAUUCUAUGACAUAAACCCUGCCUGCCAAAGAGUUUUUCAAACCCUAAACCCCAAAACUUAACCUCAAACCUUAUAUCAUACUUCAAACCCUAAACUUUAAAUACAAAAUCUAAAUUUUAAACUUGAUCCUUAAUCAAAACUCAAAAUUUAUUCAUUUUAAAAGUCAAACAUUAAAUCUUAAAUCUACACCCUAUAUCUAAUAUCCUAUACCCCAAACUUAAACUAUACAUACAAAAUCAUAGAUAGAAUCUUUAGAAACCUAUAAUAGAGACUUUAAAUUUAAACUCCGAGUAUAUUCGAAAACUCAUAUACUUAAUCUCAAAUAUUAACACUAACCCCUAAACUACAUAUCUCAUUUUUAAAUAUAUCAUAAAACAUUGAAUCUUAACUUUUAAAUAAAUUAUAAUUUCGUAAAAAAAUUAAAAUUUUAAAUACAAAAUUUAGAUUUCAAGUUUUAAGUUAUGAUACUAAAGUAUUUAAAACUUAGAUGAUUUUUAUAAUAGUUAUAGAUAAAUAAAAAGAUAAUCUGUAUUGUUUUUUUUUUGAACUUUGGAUCAAAGUUCCAAAAUGAUUCUUGUGUCAAUCCUCACAUUUUGUUCCCGUUGGUUUACUUGUUUUUAAUGACAUGUAUCAUCUUCUACGCCCUUGGAUGAUAUUGAAUCGACGAUUGAGAUUAAUUAUUCUUUUAUUCUUUUUUAAUUAUUUUUUUUUGAGAUCUACGAGUCAGAGAAACGAGAGAGAGAGAGAGAAGAUGGAGUUCCUAGAUGGUAGAGAAAGAAGAAGACGCGACGCGCCGUCACCACCACCAUCGCUCGUUACCAUCACCACCAUCGCCAUCUCUCCCAUCCCCAAUCGCUCGUCACCACCACCAUCGCUUCUCAGAUCCGUCUUCACCGGAGUCGCCACCACCACCGUCACGCUCGAAGCUUGUUCGUAAGAAAGUGGUCAUUGAUAAGGCGAAGUAAAGUUUUAUGCUUUAUAUGGUUUGAUUUGAAGUUAAAGUUCAUUUCUUUAGUUAUGUGUGUUGCAGAAAUCCAAGAGGGAUGACUCUGCCAAAACUAUGUCCCAACGUUUGCAAGGUGGUGGUCGUGACUCGUGAGCAAGAGCUGGUGUUGUGCAGAGGAGAUGUCUCGAACUUGUCUCCGUCUAGACUUACAUGAAUGUUGCAGUCUCUCACUGGAAUGCCAAGUGCAGCCUUUGCUUAUGUCUGUUGAUUCAUUGCCUCGAAGGUUUAUACAGCUAAAACAUUGCUCUAUACGACAGACUUUAAGACAAUUGUGCUUAAGUAUGGGUGUUGAGAUAAGUUAUCUUGUACUGAUUGGUUCCAGUCUUAAGUAUGGGUGUAUGUCCUCAAAUCAUUGUAUUUACCAACACUUGUUUUGUGUGCUUUUCAGAUACUGCGGAAGCUUGAGGAAAGUGGAAGAGACAGAUGAACCUUGAGGAAAGUCGAAGUGAAACAAGGAGCUUGAGGAAGGCGGCGGCUUAGGUUUAGGUUUAGGGUUAAUUAGAUUUUGGUUUAAUGUGUUUUAAUUAGUUUUUUUUUUAAUAUGUACUGGUUUAGUUUUGUAAAAUUGAUUUUAUUUGUAAACUGAUUUUAAUAAUUUAAAUUCUUUCUAUUA